AGUAAGAGAGCAUAGCAUUUUAAACGUGGUUACAAAUGUGCAAAUUGCAGGUGUGAAAAAACUUUGGCGUGGUAGCUCAUCAAACCACCAAUCUUCUUGUUAGUUGAGGACCCACUGUACUUUAUAAGGAGCAGCAGCCCAAUAAGCCUGAAACUGCAGCAGUUUCAAAUGGAUCCGAUGGAAGAGCAAACCAUAUGGACUCGCUCCACAGUCAUUUAGCUGCUGAGCUGGACUGACUCACAGCAGAUGAUCAUGAGGAAGCUGUUGUAGACAUGUUUCCUUCUCAUGUGUCCUCUUCUGCAGACACAAAUACAUAGUAGGUUGCAUUAACUCUUCACUGACUUAUUUUUUCCUUUCCUUUAUUAUCUUGCCAAACAGAAGGCCUUUCUCACGCAGAAUCCUUGAUUUUCUUGGAUAUUUCAAGUCUUCAUAAUAAAUUUCUUAAACAUUUCUCCCCAGAACUGGAUGCAGAUCUGAUAGCUUUAUGGUGAGAAAAAAAAGCCAAUCCAGCCCACAAACAGACCAUUUGUGUGUAGGCUAAGCCACAAUACUGCCUGUCAAACAGUGCAUGAAAGUUGUCACGCCUUGUUGAUUUUAUUGUACUCUAUUCAUGUGUUUAUAAAUCCCCUGAUACUCACAGUAAUCAAUAACCUUCCCAGGAUCCACUGUAUCUGAUUAGGCAAAAUGACAUUAUGCAAGCGUGCCUCUGAGUGUUAUUGAUCUAUAACCUGAAUAUUGCUUGAAGGGUUGAAGAGGAUUUUUAUCUAACACACUUUCUGGUGAUUUCCUUUGUCUGUAUAGCGGCCUAUUUAGGGUCCUGUGCAAACGCACCAUAAGCCAACAUUAAGAUGGUGCUGAGGCGUCCGGUAGUGUUUGCUAAAGUGUUAGCAUUAGACAGUGUGCAGGUAAAACAGCCAUCAGUCAGUAUUAUUUCCUACUUUGUUACCAUUCGUGUGCUAACUGAAUUUUAAGCAUUUCUUUAAUAAGAAAGCAGAAAAUUUUCCAGUCAUGGUAGCCAAGCGCAGGAAAGAAUGACAAGGAGGCUGGUCUGACUCGUCAGCCACUGAUUGAACACACCUGGGGAGGCCAGGAGUGCUGAGACAUGCUCGAACGGGUGAAUUGAUGUGUUGUUUUGGGCAGCUUGCCAAUUAGGAACUUUGCAUCAUUUUUAUCCGAAAGAAAAGAACAUAACAGUAUUUAUAAUGAGAGACAAAUAAGGCCUAUGUAAUAUUAUAUAUUUAUUCAAAAAGGUUGGCUAGUCAGUGCUGUCAGUCAACCGUGAUUGCACUCAGGCCUUACACAUCUGUGGCUCAGUUAACCAUGGAAUAUGGACUUUGCCAAGCCUUCGCAGCUAUCAAUUCUCCAUGUGGGUGUUGUAUAUUGGAUAACGAUGAUGUGAAGAUGUUGAAAGAGAUCUCCGCUGACACCGUCUUGCUUGCAUUAAAAGGUUUAUUACAAAGCAGCCCAGCAUAAAUUACAUGCAUAGGACGACCCCAGUGUGCAUCCAAUUGGUAGCCAGUCUGUGACAGAGGUUCUGUCUGGCUCA
Scatophagus argus is the source of this 1546-nucleotide long non-coding RNA. RefSeq lists it as uncharacterized. NCBI's taxonomy places the organism in Eukaryota, Metazoa, Chordata, Actinopteri, Scatophagidae. The record is from RefSeq and is a predicted model, not a curated record. The transcript is spliced from 3 exons.